This 1978-nucleotide long non-coding RNA is filed under the name Eucalyptus grandis. RNAcentral's name for it is "long non-coding RNA (EGRA_LNC001352)". The record is from RNAcentral. Lineage: Eukaryota; Viridiplantae; Streptophyta; Magnoliopsida; Myrtales; Myrtaceae.
CCCCGACCAGCAGCGAUCAGAGGGUUGUAGAAAAUGGGUAUGACAAUGGGUUUUGGCCCGUUUUGGCCGUCUUCCCGAGCCCGGAUGCUCGGCCCGCUUUGAGGAAAGUCGAUCCUCGCGUCGAGCCCGUCGUUUUGAGUGAGUUUUACUCACUAAUGCCUUCUUAGUGCGCUAAUUAUACUUAAAGGUUGAUUAGUGGUAAUUAAGUGUAAUUAGGUUGUUAGAUUAGAAUUGAUUAGUGAUUAUUAGUUAAUUGCUUUGCAUAUUAGUUGUGUGAUUAGUGUAUUUAGAUAGAGAAUUGCAUGUAGUAUUUAUUGGAUGCUUCUUGGGAUUUUUCCCGUCCCUUAUCAGGUGUUAAUUAAGCAAAUCGGGCAUAGGUGGAAUUUUUAGGAAUUAAAUAUUAAUUUUCGAAAUUAAUUAUUUAAUUAUUUAUUUUCCGGAAAUUCAACUGGGAUGGCCAGUGACCGGGAUUUUAUGCUGAUGAUCAUGGCGCAGUCCGUUUAUUUAAUUGAGCUUUAUGUUGUGCUAAAUUGAAUUUAUUGUAUUUAUUUAUUUAAUUUUCGAAAUUAAUAAAUUAAUUAAUUAUUUUUCGGAAAUUAAGAUUUUGAUGGCCGACGACCGAAAUCUCGUGCUAAUUGUCGUGGCGCAGUCCGUUUAUUUAUUUGAGCUCUACGUUGUAUGGAAUUGAAUAAAUUGUGAUAUUUUAGGGAUUUACCCUAAUUUGAUUGGAAUUGAAUUGAGAUAUGAAUUGGUUUAUAUAUAUGUAUCAGCUUGGGCGAGCAAUUAUGAUAUACACAUAUACAUAUAUAUAUAUGGCAGCUUCUGGUGAGCUAAGAUCGUUUUAUCAGCUUGUGCGAGCACGAUCUAUAUAUAUAUCAGCUUGUGAGAGCAAUGAUCGUUUAUCAGCUUGUGAGAGCAACGAUCCAUAUAUCAGCUUGUGCGAGCUAUCAUCUAUGUAUAUAUCAGCUUGUGCGAGCUACCAUCUAUAUCAGCUUGUGAGAGCAUUGCAUCCAUUUCAGCUUGUGCGAGCCAUAAUUGUAUUGAUGGAUGAAUAGAUGGUAUGGUUUAAUAGAUGAUAUGAAUUGAUAGAUAUGUGGAUCGUAUGAUAUCAAUUGGAUUGACUGAAUUGAUAGACCGAUGGGUAUGUCGGUAGAUUCAGCUUGUGCGAGCAUUGUUUGAAUAUUGAAUUGUUUACGUUGGCUCUGUGAUCAGUGUGUGCGAGCAUUGUUUGAAUAUUGAAUUGUUUACGUUGGCUCUGUGAUCAGUGUAUCACCUUGGCAAAUCGACACCCGAGAGCAUUGAUGGAGCUCUGUGACUAAGUGCGGGCAUCUAAAAGGGCACGUGGGCUCGGUGACUUGAUGUAUCACUUUGGCGAAGAGGUCGCCUGAGAGAAUGCACGUGGGCCCAAGGUUCGAGGCACGUGGACUCGGAGACUUGGAAUGUCGUCCUAGAGAAUGCACGUGGCCUCGCUUUUAGAUACUCCUCCGUGGAGAGUGAUUUGUAUGACAUGUAAUCGACUAGGUCGAUGCUUUGAUUUGAUGUUGUGAAUUGGUUGAUUGAUUGGAAAUGACCGUGAGUGGUCUUGUUGGCAUGUAAUCGACUAAGUUGAUUAGAUCGAUGCUUCGAUCUGUGAUGUGAUUGCUUGUGUGCCUAUUUGAUCUGUACUAAUAUGCAGGUGGAAUCUGAGGCUAAGGUAAGUCCUUUGACUCAUGUUGUGCAUAGGCAGCCCUAAGGUGUAUUAGUUUACUAAUCGGGUCUUAGGAGGUAGAACUUGCUGAGACGUGGUCUCAGUGGUUAUUGAAUAACCAUUUCAGGACCUGGAUGAGGAGCCUAAGGAGCAUGAAUCUGACGAGGAGAUCCUUGUUGAGGAACCCGAAGAGGAGUACGUGGAGGAGGACCCCGAGUAUGACAUCGAGUACGACCCGAAUGAGGACCGAAAUCCUAUCCUGUCUUGUCAGACCUUGUUUGCAUGUAAAAA